RNAcentral lists this ribosomal RNA (253 nucleotides) under uncultured bacterium. Its description in RNAcentral is "partial 16S ribosomal RNA". It matches the Rfam family "Bacterial small subunit ribosomal RNA", at positions 524 to 776 of the family's 1533-position model. The record is from RNAcentral.
UACGAAGGGGGCUAGCGUUGCUCGGAAUCACUGGGCGUAAAGGGUGCGUAGGCGGGCCUUUAAGUCAGGGGUGAAAUCCUGGAGCUCAACUCCAGAACUGCCUUUGAUACUGAAGAUCUUGAGUUCGGGAGAGGUGAGUGGAACUGCGAGUGUAGAGGUGAAAUUCGUAGAUAUUCGCAAGAACACCAGUGGCGAAGGCGGCUCACUGGCCCGAUACUGACGCUGAGGCACGAAAGUGUGGGGAUCAAACAGG